This is a small nuclear RNA of Ananas comosus (pineapple), 195 nucleotides long. It matches the Rfam family "U2 spliceosomal RNA". From Rfam's summary of the family: U2 is a small nuclear RNA (snRNA) component of the spliceosome (involved in pre-mRNA splicing). Complementary binding between U2 snRNA (in an area lying towards the 5' end but 3' to hairpin I) and the branchpoint sequence (BPS) of the intron results the bulging out of an unpaired adenosine, on the BPS, which initiates a nucleophilic attack at the intronic 5' splice site, thus starting the first of two transesterification reactions that mediate splicing. NCBI's taxonomy places the organism in Eukaryota, Viridiplantae, Streptophyta, Magnoliopsida, Poales, Bromeliaceae. The record is from Rfam.
CUAAUUAAAUUUAUAAGUUUCAGAGAAGUGUAAUAUCUGUUCUUAUUAGUUUAAUAUCUGAUAUAUAUGGGCUACGUGCCAAUCUCGAUAUUAAAUUAAUUUUUGUGGGGGAGUGUCCAUCCAUGAUAGCUUGUUACUGGGAUUUUAUCAUGUCGCCCUUGCGCUACACUGCUGUUGGAGACUAGCACACUCAUG